Molecule: long non-coding RNA, 755 nt
Filed under: Fragaria vesca (wild strawberry)
Lineage: Eukaryota; Viridiplantae; Streptophyta; Magnoliopsida; Rosales; Rosaceae
Description: long non-coding RNA (FVES_LNC003497)
Source: RNAcentral
UGAAAAAAGAAAAAAGAAAAUGGAACGAUCAGAGAGUAAUAACACAAUAAGUUACUAAGGGGAAAAGGGGAUCAAUAGUUGAUACGUUCAAGUACAUAUAUAAUUUGUAGGAAGAUGCAUCUGCAUAUAAAAUUAAACAUAUUCUUGAGCCAAUUAUCUUGUUGAAUCUAUUUUCCUUGAAUUGAGAACAAGUCCAAUCUUUUCUAUUACAAAUCAUGGCUAAAUUAUUCAUGACCAUUUUGUCUAAUGAAGGAGACAUCUGUGAUGGUGUUAUUACUAUACAAUCCAGAGUUUGGUAAUCAACCAUGAGGCGCUGGAAUAGCAGGUGGCUUUGGUACGUCAAUGGAUGGUAGCAGUUUCCUUAUGUUUAAGUUCCUUGCUUGAUUAUUAGUCUUCCUGUACUCCAUUUCAUGAUUCCCAGUGCUCUUCAAUUCUGAAAGCACAAAGAAAAUCGAUCAAUAUCAGUCAUGCAUGCUUGUUUAGACAUGAUCAUAGAGAGAGAGAGAGAGAGAGAGAGAGAGAGAGAGAGAGAGAGAGAGAGAGAGAGAGAGAGAGUACCUCUAGCAAAAGCUAUGUCUGAUGAAAAAACUAGCAAAAGGAUGAAGGGAAUCAUGUAAACAGCGGAGCCUGCUUUGCGGUGAACCAUUUUAUUUUAUAGGAAACGAGUUAAUUAGUUGCAACUAUCUACUUCUGCUACUCCUUUCCUCUUUAUAUAUACAGGAUCGAUACAGCUACGUACUAAUUGUAUUGAUUUG